GAGUUUGAUCCUGGCUCAGAACGAACGCUGGCGGCAGGCUUAACACAUGCAAGUCGAACGCUCUCUUCGGAGAGAGUGGCAGACGGGUGAGUAACGCGUGGGAACCUACCUAGAAGUACGGAAUAACUCGAGGAAACUCGUGCUAAUACCGUAUACGCCCUCCGGGGGAAAGAUUUAUCGCUUCUAGAUGGGCCCGCGUUGGAUUAGCUAGUUGGUGAGGUAACGGCUCACCAAGGCUACGAUCCAUAGCUGGUCUGAGAGGAUGAUCAGCCACACUGGGACUGAGACACGGCCCAGACUCCUACGGGAGGCAGCAGUGGGGAAUAUUCGGCAAUGGGCGCAAGCCUGACCGAGCCAUGCCGCGUGAGUGACGAAGGCCUUAGGGUUGUAAAGCUCUUUUGGCGGGGAAGAUAAUGACUGUACCCGCAGAAUAAGUCCCGGCUAACUUCGUGCCAGCAGCCGCGGUAAUA
Molecule: ribosomal RNA, 470 nt
Filed under: uncultured Alphaproteobacteria bacterium
Lineage: Bacteria; Pseudomonadati; Pseudomonadota; Alphaproteobacteria
Description: bacterial SSU rRNA
Rfam family: Bacterial small subunit ribosomal RNA
Source: RNAcentral